Molecule: small RNA, 103 nt
Filed under: Chryseobacterium piscicola
Lineage: Bacteria; Pseudomonadati; Bacteroidota; Flavobacteriia; Flavobacteriales; Weeksellaceae
Description: Flavo-1 RNA
Rfam family: Flavo-1 RNA
Source: RNAcentral
UCGCAGCCCGACUUGAGCGGAAAUCCUUUUUUGCUAAGACUUCAAGCUUUAUUUAAACUGAAAUUGUUUGCAAAAAAGAUUGGGAGCGGAAGGCGGAUUAAGC